GGAAAUUCCGCUUAUAACCAGCAAAUUGAUCCAAAUCUGAAGCAUAUCGAUCCAUGUCCUUCUCCCCCACCCCUAAAGCGUAUCGAUGUCCUUCUCCCCCAAAUCGAUUCAGCCUUAUCUGAGGUCUGGAAGCGGUCGUAGGCAACAACAAUUUGAUAUCUCCCCCAAUUUCGAAGCGGUGUCUCCGCCCAUUACUGCCUAUCUCUGCUCCCCCCCUCUCAUAUCCCAGCUCCUCUUCUCUGCCUCCCUCUCUCUCAUCUCCAAAUUGUUUUGGUUUAAUGGAGGACAGAGGAACUAGAUCUGUUUUCUCUCUCCUCCGACACCCACUUCCGGUCACCACCGUGACUCACCUCCACCAUCACAGACCUCACCGACCUCCGACGAGUUUAAUGCAGCCUUGAGGAGUAAGUGUAGGUCAGGGAAUUUCGACAAGGCAUGGAGAAAUUUGUUUAAAUCGCGGUGGCCGGAGCUUGGCAGUAGGAUUGAACCUCCUGACUGGCAGCAGAUAUAUUGGGAAACGCAUCUGCAAAAGUAUGCUUUUCUUUUUAUUUUUCUAUUAUUUUUUAAUAGCUGUUUUCCCUUUUCAAUGACAGAAGAGGGAUUGGUGAAUUUUGUUCAUGGAGGAUUUGGUAUUUUUGUUUUAUGAAACCAUAAAGAACAGUUGUCUAGAUGAAGUAGCAGAGCUAGCUUCGCUGCCCUCAUUUGAUGGGCGCCUUGGUGAAAUCAAGAUUUCAGACUCUUUAUUGGAAUUGAUAGGUUGUGAGGGUGACAUGGCUACUUCAACUUGUGAAUAUUCCAAACUAUAUCACCAUUGUCUACACUGUGGUUACUUUGUGCAGUAAGUUUGCAAUUUGAUGAGACCGUAGUCCCAUGUCCUUCCAAGAAUGGAGGACUGGGUCGCAUAUUGAAAUUUUACUUCGUUAUCCAUUUGCAUAUACAGACUUCAAUGUUCUUGUCUUUAUGCAAAAUUUAUGUUAUUAGAUUGUGUUCUUAUCUUUAUGCAGAUGCCUGAGACUUCAAAAUGCUUUCUGUGAUGAAGAAAUUUGUCACCUAUUGAGGAACAGCAAAUAGCAGAGCUUGGAACUAAGGUGGAUAAGAUCCAAGGAGCAUAUUACUGGAUUAUGC
Long non-coding RNA from Rosa chinensis, 1125 nucleotides. RefSeq lists it as uncharacterized. The record is from RefSeq and is a predicted model, not a curated record. Lineage: Eukaryota; Viridiplantae; Streptophyta; Magnoliopsida; Rosales; Rosaceae. The transcript is spliced from 5 exons.